GACGAACGCUGGCGGCGUGCUUAACACAUGCAAGUCGAACGGAAAGGCCCUGCUUUUGUGGGGUGCUCGAGUGGCAAACGGGUGAGUAACACGUGAGUAACCUGCCCUUGACUUUGGGAUAACUUCAGGAAACUGGGGCUAAUACCGGAUAGGAGCUCCUGCUGCAUGGUGGGGGUUGGAAAGUUUCGGCGGUUGGGGAUGGACUCGCGGCUUAUCAGCUUGUUGGUGGGGUAGUGGCUUACCAAGGCUUUGACGGGUAGCCGGCCUGAGAGGGUGACCGGCCACAUUGGGACUGAGAUACGGCCCAGACUCCUACGGGAGGCAGCAGUGGGGAAUAUUGCACAAUGGGCGGAAGCCUGAUGCAGCAACGCCGCGUGCGGGACGACGGCCUUCGGGUUGUAAACCGCUUUCGCCUGUGACGAAGCGUGAGUGACGGUAAUGGGUAAAGAAGCACCGGCUAACUACGUG
RNAcentral lists this ribosomal RNA (468 nucleotides) under uncultured bacterium. RNAcentral describes it as "partial 16S ribosomal RNA". It matches the Rfam family "Bacterial small subunit ribosomal RNA", at positions 28 to 507 of the family's 1533-position model. The record is from RNAcentral.